UUUGUCAGGUGGUCAUUCAGAAAUGGAUGAAUCACAUUCUGACUGAGAUCCCACUACACCUUCUGUAUGUUUGAUAUGAUAUCCAGAGCUUUGGUUAUGUGUUUCUGUACAUGCUUUGGAUAAGAUUGAUAUGUUUGCAACGUCAAAGACAACGUUUGAGCUUAUGUACGGUAUUUGUUAUUGAUAUGCUCUGAAAUGUUUCAUCCACUGUUGAUAUGUUUCGAAAUGUUCCAUAUGUCGUUGAUAUGCUCCAGAACAUUUCAUACGCCAUUGAUAUGCUCCAAUUCCUUUGUGCUCCAUUUGCUAUGAACUGAUAUGUUCUGAAAUGUCCUAUCUGCCAUUGAUAUGCUUCCAUUACUCUGUGCUCCAUUUGCUAUGAACUGAUAUGUUCUGAAAUGUCCUAUCUGCCAUUGAUAUGUUCCAAUUACUCUAUGCUCCAUUCGGUAUGGAUCAAAUAUGUUUUGAAUGACAUGAUAAGUAUGAUUUGGUAUCUAUUGAGAUGGUAUCCUUGAGAAUUCUUGUAUUCAGCCUUGCAUUAUGGUACCUUACUCGUUUCAAACCGUUCCUUUUGUUCUGAAUAUGCUUUGUCACUUGCUGAGCCGUUUUUGGCUCACUCCAUUGUUAUAUAAAUCUUUCAGGUCAGCUUGUCACUCUUCGAGAUGUUUGAUUUGGGCUGAGGCAGUGGAUAGCUAUUCAGAAUGAUGGGCAAGUCUUGUCGGUUGUUAUGCUAUUGUUGUAUAAGUAUGAUUUGUAUGUAAUGAAAUGUUGUCGAUGAACCGAAAUUGAUAUACUGUGUCAAAGUGUUAGGAGAUCUCUUUUAUUUGGAAUUUUUGAAUGUUAAGUCUAAUUUAUGACGAUAUGAACUUGUGGUGAAUAGUUGGAGUUCUGAUUGUAUAAUUUAUUUAGCUUGUGGAAUUAUAAAUGUUAUUCAUGUUUGUCAAGUUUGCUUGGGUUG
RNAcentral lists this long non-coding RNA (955 nucleotides) under Musa acuminata (dwarf banana). Its description in RNAcentral is "long non-coding RNA (MACU_LNC009924)". The record is from RNAcentral. Lineage: Eukaryota; Viridiplantae; Streptophyta; Magnoliopsida; Zingiberales; Musaceae.